Molecule: transfer RNA, 74 nt
Filed under: Planctomycetota bacterium
Lineage: Bacteria; Pseudomonadati; Planctomycetota
Description: tRNA-Arg
Rfam family: tRNA
About the family: Transfer RNA (tRNA) molecules are approximately 80 nucleotides in length. Their secondary structure includes four short double-helical elements and three loops (D, anti-codon, and T loops).
Source: RNAcentral
GCGCCUGUAGCUCAUUCGGAUAGAGCAGCGGUCUUCUAAACCGCAGGUAGUUGGUUCGAGUCCAACCAGGCGCG